GCGUGUCAGUCUUCUUUCUACUCAUUGGAAGGUAUAAUAGCUGCCCCCCCAUGGGGGCUUCACAGCGAACCUCGCACGUGAGCCAUCGGAUCUUUACUUCAGUGUAUCUCAGCCGUCCAGUUUUUUCACCGCAUCAUACUAUAAAAGAGACAUCCCACGGUGAAAACCCUAGAGGCUUCUCCCCACUCACCCAAUCCCAGCCGCCACGCCCAAUCCCCAUGCGUCCUCCUCCCCCGUGCCCGGCGGCGCUGCUCCACCUCCCUGGCCGCCACCCACCUUCUCCUCCUAGCCCCGUGUCCUCACCUCGUCGGCCGGCCUCCUCCAUGGAGCUCGAGCUUUCGUGGUGCUCUGCUGGCUGCCGUCAACGAGCUCUUCCUGCCGCUGCCGUGUGCCGUGUCUCCUCACCUCCGGCGUGCCUCCUCCCUAGGCUCAGCUGGAGGGAGGACGACGCGCGUCUCUCCUCUUCCCGGCCGCUGCGCGCCUCUCCUCCUCCUCUCCUCCGGCCUGCUUCUUCCUUGGGCUCAGCAGGUGGAGCACGCUGCAGUAGGAGGAGCAGGAGACGCCACCAGGGGCGCUUCCUCAGCGGGGUGGAGCGCGGAUCGUCCGGUCCUCAGGCCGGCGAGGCGGAUGCUGCGGCGCCAUCGUCUUCAGCGGAGAGGAGCUCGAUCCGCCGCUAGGCCGCCGCCAAGCCGCAGCAGAGGAAGAGCCGCCGCUGCACCACGGGAGAGGUCGGCGCAGAUUGUGUGCAAAGAAUUAGACCUGCAAUGUUGUUAUAGCGGUGAUUGAUCACCUGAAGCUUUUGUACAUCAGACAGACGAUGGACCUAUGGCUUGCACAUUUUGUUUUGACAAAUUGUUGAGGCAUUAAGCAAUGCAUAUUUUAUCCAUGAUUACUCUGAGCCGCCGAAGCUCACCAAGUUUAAUGAGAGGUGAUGGAGCGCUGAACGCGGAGAUGCGCAUGCGGAGAGGUGAUGGAGCAGUGAACAAACAACUAACACAAAAUGAAAUUGAGUCAUGGUUGGGGCGAGAUUGGGCACUGAAUUUUCUACUGGCGGAACAAUUUCAAGAUGCUAAAUGUUUGGUUCUUAUAAUAUCCGAUGACUUGCGCUGGUUGGUGUCGCUCUUUCAUUAUUAGGUCUUUUAUUGAAAGUGCAGCAGCUCGUAUAAGUCUCCAAAUUUUAGAAGUGUUCAAGUUCUUAUGAUCUUAUUCACCAAAACUGCUUGACAUGGCGGCUAUUUGCAGAUGCUCUUCAGCAUUAAUUUUGCACCCUAAGUCUGAUACCUACUUUGCAUCCCUCCCGCAUGUACGCGUGUUCAUUGAAGAAAAUGUGUAUGUUCGUGUACCGUUCAAGCGGUUAAAUAGUAGUCCAUUCAUAUUGCACUUUACCUAGGACUAUUCCUUAAUAAGGUAAGCUUACAACAAGGAUGAUAAAAAGAUGUCACGUUAUUCCUAUGUCUAUUCUGGGAAGUUAUAAUUAUCUUGAGCAGCUAAAAUCAACUAGCAUAGUUAUCUGAAUUCUGUUUAUAUGAUGUUACACGUUCCCCAAGUAAGUAGUAGUGCAUGUUUUGUGUUUGCACCUAUAGGGCUAUACUUUAGUACUGCUUGGCUUAUGUGCUAUUCAGGUUGUACUAUCGUACUAUGCAGAAAAUUAAAAUGUUCUUGCUAUGUAUUAGUUAAUUUACCGCGUCUACGAUUAGGAUACCUCAAAUAGUUUAUAAGCUCGCAGAUAAAGCAUUUGUUUGUUGGUUUAUUUCUUUCUACCAUGUUUAAAAAAUAGGAGGGUAAUUUUCCACCAGCUUUUCCUUUGCUCUGCAACAAACUGUGAAGGUCUAUAUUUAAGUUGUAUCCAUGGCCUGAGCAAGUUGCUCCUGUAAUGUUCAGUUUUUUCUACUGCUAUAUAUAUAUAUAAAGGAAUCAUCUUAUUCUUUUUGGUAUUCAUUUGCAUCCAAAUAGCAAUUUGUUUUUUUUUUGUUUUAGUGGAGUGGUUAGUAGUUACUGUGUUCUUCUUGCAGUCUAUAGGGCAUUUACACUAUGGUUGCUGUUUCUUUUCAGUUUGGCUUAUCGAUCUUCGUCUCGCAUGGUCUCAAGUAUUAUCCUUCUUGAUGUGUCUGAAAAAUGCAGUCUUAAUGUGAGGGGAUGUCAUGCUAUCCGGGCCAUUGCAGAACUAGGCUAUUUUGCUAGUGCCUUAAAGAGAAGGGAGUGUUCAUUAUGCACCAACAAAUGCAGCAACCUCGAGUUUUUGGAAGCCUAGUGUCAAAUUAAAAGUCAUAGGAAUCAGAUCUGGAUUCAGAAGAUGCCCUGCAUCCUUGAUAUUUUAUAUUUGAAUGCUUCACCCGGAAGCUUCUUCUUAGAGUAAGUAAUUUUCAACAAUAUGGAUUACAAAGCUUGUGGAGUCACAUCAACUUAUUAGGAUACAUAUGCUCAUAUCCAUGAAUUUAAAGCUAAUUAAAGAGUUUCGGAUUCUGAGAAGAAACUGGCUAGACAAAAUAUUUAUUCUCAGAGGUGAUAAAUUGCAGGUGACGACAUAGAUUUUAUUUAAUUUUUAUCAUGUCGCCCUUAUGUGCAGGCCUUUCUCUUCAGUGAUUUUCUUACAUCAAAGAUUUAUUUCCACUGUUGCUGAAGGUUCUCUCCUCAAGUUCAACGUGGCACGUUUGGUCUCACCAUCAGCAAUUCAGCUUUGCAUUAUAAGUUAAUAGCCUCAUGGUAAAAAAUCAAUGAUGUAGCCAGUGCCAGCCUGGUGAACACUGAAAAAUAUAUCAUCUACUUUGCUUUCAUAUGUUGUAGCAUUGCAGGAUGUGUUUUGAUGUUCACGUGUGGUUUCUGUUUGAUCAGAAAAAAAAAAUAGACAACAAGGCAUGUAUGUUGUUGCGGUAUAGUUCAGCAAAGAGGGUUUGAGAAGAGAAAAUUGCUGGUUGUUGUGGUGUCGCUUUCACAGUUGCCCGUUUAUCCUUUAAUUUUGCAACAUUCCAUUUUGUAUUAUUUUAAGUUGGUACAUCAGUGAUCUAGCCCAUGUAACAUUACUUAAUACAAUAUUUUACAAACUUUUU
Lolium perenne is the source of this 3047-nucleotide long non-coding RNA. RefSeq lists it as uncharacterized. The record is from RefSeq and is a predicted model, not a curated record. NCBI's taxonomy places the organism in Eukaryota, Viridiplantae, Streptophyta, Magnoliopsida, Poales, Poaceae.